Glycine max (soybean) is the source of this 86-nucleotide non-coding RNA. NCBI's taxonomy places the organism in Eukaryota, Viridiplantae, Streptophyta, Magnoliopsida, Fabales, Fabaceae. The record is from Rfam.
UCCUUCUAGGAUGAACAAAAAAUCAAAAUUUCGUUCUUCUGAGCUGUUUCAUGUGGAUAAAUAUUGGAGACAUGAAUUGAGAAGGC